This 427-nucleotide ribosomal RNA is filed under the name uncultured bacterium. RNAcentral's name for it is "partial 16S ribosomal RNA". It matches the Rfam family "Bacterial small subunit ribosomal RNA", at positions 355 to 774 of the family's 1533-position model. The record is from RNAcentral.
UGGGGAAUAUUGCACAAUGGGCGCAAGCCUGAUGCAGCCAUGCCGCGUGUAUGAAGAAGGCCUUCGGGUUGUAAAGUACUUUCAGCGGGGAGGAAGGCGAUAAGGUUAAUAACCUUGUCGAUUGACGUUACCCGCAGAAGAAGCACCGGCUAACUCCGUGCCAGCAGCCGCGGUAAUACGGAGGGUGCAAGCGUUAAUCGGAAUUACUGGGCGUAAAGCGCACGCAGGCGGUCUGUCAAGUCGGAUGUGAAAUCCCCGGGCUCAACCUGGGAACUGUAUUCGAAACUGGCAGGCUAGAGUCUUGUAGAGGGGGGUAGAAUUCCAGGUGUAGCGGUGAAAUGCGUAGAGAUCUGGAGGAAUACCGGUGGCGAAGGCGGCCCCCUGGACAAAGACUGACGCUCAGGUGCGAAAGCGUGGGGAGCAAACA